GAUGAACGCUGGCGGCGUGCUUAACACAUGCAAGUCGAACGGAAAGGCCCUGCUUUUGUGGGGUGCUCGAGUGGCGAACGCGUGAGUAACACGUGAGUAACCUGUCCCUGACUUUGGGAUAUCUUCACGAAACUGGGGCUAAUACCGGAUAGGAGCUCCUGCUGCAUGGUGGGGGUUGGAAAGUUUCGGCGGUUGGGGAUGGACUCGCGGCUUACCAGCUGCUUGGUCGGGUAGUGGCUUACAAAGGCUUUGACGGAUAGCCUGCCUGGGAGGGGGGACGGCCACAAUGGGACUGAGAUACGGACCAGACUCCAACGGGAGGCAGCAGUGGGGAAUAUUGCACAAUGGGCGGAAGCCUGAUGCAGCAGCGCCGCGUGCGGGAUGACGGCCUUCGGGUUGUAAACCGCUUUCGCCUGUGACGAAGCGUGAGUGACGGUAAUGGGUAAAGAAGCACCGGCUAACUACGUG
This 468-nucleotide ribosomal RNA is filed under the name uncultured bacterium. RNAcentral's name for it is "partial 16S ribosomal RNA". It matches the Rfam family "Bacterial small subunit ribosomal RNA", at positions 28 to 507 of the family's 1533-position model. The record is from RNAcentral.